Molecule: ribosomal RNA, 305 nt
Filed under: uncultured bacterium
Lineage: Bacteria
Description: bacterial SSU rRNA
Rfam family: Bacterial small subunit ribosomal RNA
Source: RNAcentral
UUCCUACGGGACGCAGCAGUAGGGAAUAUUGCUCAAUGGGGGAAACCCUGAAGCAGCAACGCCGCGUGGAGGAUGAAGGUUUUCGGAUUGUAAACUCCUUUUGUUAGAGAAGAUAAUGACGGUAUCUAACGAAUAAGCACCGGCUAACUCCGUGCCAGCAGCCGCGGUAAUACGGAGGGCGCAAGCGUUACUCGGAAUCACUGGGCGUAAAGAGUGCGUAGGCGGGGUAAUAAGUCAGAUGUGAAAUCCUGUAGCUUAACUACAGAACUGUAUUUGAAACUGUUACUCUGGAGUGUGGGAGGGGG